CCCAACAUUCCAGCUACCCAUUCAUUAUUCGAUGCUCAGCAGAAUCCAAGAAGAUCAGGACACCUGGAUCUUUGUGAUUUUGGAAAACCAGCAGAAGCAAUUGCGAUAGCAUACGCAGCUCCUGCGUCUCAUCCUGGCGAGAGGUUCAGCACAAGAUGCAGUUCCAAGUGAGUUGCCAGAGGGGAUAUCUUUCCCCCUCAAAACUGUGGUGGAUUUGGCAGCCUUCAAAGAGCGAAAGUCACAAGCGAAUGCUGCAACAUCCGUUGUAAAAUACUUGGCAGAAUAUGGUGGGAGUGACACAGUGGACACGUUUUCGCGGAUAAUGAAGACUGUGUUGACAACAAAUCUGGACCGCCAAUACAACCUAAAGGGAACCAAACAAAAAAGAAACUGGACAGACUCCACUUGAUAAACA
Molecule: long non-coding RNA, 415 nt
Organism: Mya arenaria
Lineage: Eukaryota; Metazoa; Mollusca; Bivalvia; Myida; Myidae
Exons: 3
Source: RefSeq, a predicted model, not a curated record